RNAcentral lists this ribosomal RNA (502 nucleotides) under uncultured bacterium. RNAcentral describes it as "partial 16S rRNA". The record is from RNAcentral.
GCACAGAGUUAGCCGUCUCUUCCUCUUCGGGUACUAUCAACACAAAUACAGUUAAUAUCUGUGCAUUGUUCCCCAAUGACAGGAGUUUACAAUCCGAAGACAUUCAUCCUCCACGCGGCGUCGCUCGAUCAGGGUUUCCCCCAUUGUCAAAAAUUCUCGACUGCUGCCACCCGUAGGUGUCUGGGCCGUGUCUCAGUCCCAGUGUGGCUGGUCGUCCUCUCAGACCAGCUACCCGUCAAAGCCUUGGUGAGCCGUUACCUCACCAACUAGCUGAUAGGCCGCGGGCCCCACAAGAAGCGUCAGGUUGCCCCGACUUUAAUUUCGAAAGGAUGUCCUCUCUAAUCACAUGCGGUAUUAAUUCGCCUUUCGGCGAGCUAUCCCCCACUUCAUGGCAGGUUGCCCACGUGUUAAGCACCCGUUCGCCACUAAACUUUCCAUCGUAUUGCUACAACGAAAAGUCUCGUUCGACUUGCAUGUCUUAUCCACGCCGCCAGCGUUCGUU